GACGAACGCUGGCGGCGUGCUUAACACAUGCAAGUCGAACGGAAAGGCCCUGCUUUUGUGGGGUGCUCGAGUGGCGAACGGGUGAGUAACACGUGAGUAACCUGCCCUUGACUUUGGGAUAACUUCAGGAAACUGGGGCUAAUACCGGAUAGGAGCUCCUGCUGCAUGGUGGGGGUUGGAAAGUUUCGGCGGUUGGGGAUGGGCUCGCGGCUUAUCAGCUUGUUGGUGGGGUAGUGGCUUACCAAGGCUUUGACGGGUAGCCGGCCUGAGAGGGUGACCGGCCACAUUGGGACUGAGAUACGGCACAGACUCCUACGGGAGGCAGCAGUGGGGAAUAUUGCACAAUGGGCGGAAGCCUGAUGCAGCAACGCCGCGUGCGGGAUGACGGCCUUCGGGUUGUAAACCGCUUUCGCCUGUGACGAAGCGUGAGUGACGGUAAUGGGUAAAGAAGCACCGGCUAACUACGUG
RNAcentral lists this ribosomal RNA (468 nucleotides) under uncultured bacterium. RNAcentral's name for it is "partial 16S ribosomal RNA". It matches the Rfam family "Bacterial small subunit ribosomal RNA", at positions 28 to 507 of the family's 1533-position model. The record is from RNAcentral.